ACGCUGGCGGCGUGCUUAACACAUGCAAGUCGAACGGAACUCUUUGGAUCAAGACUUCGGUCAAGUGAGAUUGAGUUUAGUGGCGGACGGGUGAGUAACGCGUGAGGAACCUGCCUUUCAGAGGGGGACAACAGUUGGAAACGACUGCUAAUACCGCAUAACGCGUAGAGAUCGCAUGGUCUUUACGCCAAAGAUUUAUCGCUGAGAGAUGGCCUCGCGUCUGAUUAGCUAGUUGGUGAGGUAACGGCCCACCAAGGCGACGAUCAGUAGCCGGACUGAGAGGUUGACCGGCCACAUUGGGACUGAGAUACGGCCCAGACUCCUACGGGAGGCAGCAGUGGGGAAUAUUGGGCAAUGGGCGCAAGCCUGACCCAGCAACGCCGCGUGAAGGAAGAAGGCUUUCGGGUUGUAAACUUCUUUUGUCGAGGAAGAGUAGAAGACUGUACUCGGCGAAUAAGCCACGGCUAACUACGUG
This 475-nucleotide ribosomal RNA is filed under the name uncultured bacterium. RNAcentral describes it as "bacterial SSU rRNA". It matches the Rfam family "Bacterial small subunit ribosomal RNA", at positions 33 to 507 of the family's 1533-position model. The record is from RNAcentral.